Molecule: ribosomal RNA, 398 nt
Filed under: Acanthoscelides oblongoguttatus
Lineage: Eukaryota; Metazoa; Arthropoda; Insecta; Coleoptera; Chrysomelidae
Description: partial 12S small subunit ribosomal RNA
Source: RNAcentral
UAAACUAGGAUUAGAUACCCUAUUAUUUUAAAUGUAAAUUUAAAAUGCUAAAUUAGUAUUAGUUAUUUUCUUGAAAAUUAAAAAAUUUGGCGGUAUUUUAGUCUUUUCAGAGGAACCUGUCCUGUAAUUGAUAGUCCACGAUAAGAGACACUUCAUUUAUUAGUUUACAUAUCGUCGUAGGUUAAAUAUUUUAAUAGAAGUUUAAUAUUUAAGAUUUUAGAUUAUAAAGUAAAUCAGAUCAAGGUGUAGCAUAUAGUGAAGAAGAGAUGGGUUACAUUAAAUUUAUUUAAGGAUAAUUUUUUUUAAAAGAAUUUAAAUUUGGAUUUGAUAGUAAUUUUAUAUAUUUAUUUAAAAUGAUUAAAGCUCUAAAAUAUGUACACAUCGCCCGUCGCUCUUAA